RNAcentral lists this long non-coding RNA (5213 nucleotides) under Brassica napus (rape). RNAcentral describes it as "long non-coding RNA (BNAP_LNC006844)". Lineage: Eukaryota; Viridiplantae; Streptophyta; Magnoliopsida; Brassicales; Brassicaceae. The record is from RNAcentral.
AAGAUGGAAGAAAAUAAUUUUUUUAAAAAGAUGGGAGAAUAUUUAUCUUAACUCUCAAGGUGUAUAAUUUUGAUGUAAAAUUGUUGGAUAUAACCUCUUUUAAGUUAAGUAGGAGUAGAAACUUACGAGUCAAGUUCCGGAUCUCAGCCCAUGUGAGACUAAAAGUGUAUAUCCCACUAUUUGAGCUAAUCUCAGGAACUUGUUUUGAGCGUUGCGCAAAAGGUGUUUGGGAGAUCAUUGUGCUGUUCGAGAGAUCUAUUGAACGUGAGCAAAAAGGUACGCCGUCGCUGGACAUCUGGACUGAGCAAUCGAUAACAUCAGCACCAUCUUUGAUGGCUUUAUCAUAUGCCAAGUCUGUACAUCCAGGGUAGUCCCCACUCGCUCCAUUUUUCGAUAUAAUAAGAAACUCAACUGAAGCAUGAACCAUUUGAUAGAGUCAAGGUAGGUCUCUUUUAUACAAGUAAAAAAAUAACUAUAAAGUAAUUACUCUUACUACCUUGUUUUAUAGCGUUUUCACCAAGGUGGGAGAAGCAGUCUUCAGGAAAAUAUGAAAAGAAAAUGAUUGAUUUGAGUAUUUCGAGUAAUGUUUCAAGGAGAUCGAAUAUAUUCGCAAUUUGAUACAAUGCCGUCCAGUCCAAAUUUAUCGAGGUCUUGCCUGAGAUGAAUUUAUCAAGGGACCCAUUUCCCAAAAAUUCAUAUAUAAUUGCUCUUUUGGAACCUUCGGAGCAGAAACCAAGCAAGGAAACAAUGUUGUGGUGAGAUGUUUGACUCAUGCUUGCAACUUCAUUGGUGAAAUCUUCACCGUUACCCUUUGAAUCUUUCAAGACCUUCACCGCCACCAUACGGCCAUCAGAAAGAGUUCCUCUAUAAACAAUUCCAAAUCCGCCUCUCCCGACCACUUCUGCGAAUGACUUUGUAAUUCUUUUCACUUGUGCAUAAGUGUAGUGUCUGAGUGGAAUAAGCGACUUCAGAUUCUGUUGUCUCUGGCGUACUCUUCUCUUCCGGAGAAAAAGAAACAAUGCUAAUAAGACCAAGAAUAUAACAAUGCCUGCUACUGAACCUGAAACUAGAAAAUCGGAGAAAUUUAGUGAGUUAAGUAUCUUCAUUUUAAUACACAGAAACAGGUCAAAGAAUAUCUUCCCAGCAAACUAACCUUUGCCAAUGACAUUGACCGAAGACCCUAUUCAAACGUUCAACAAGUAAAAUUUUGUCAGAAACCAAACUUGACCUCCAAAGAAAGGUAAAAGACAACAGAAAAACAUGUUGAGUCAAAUAACCUUUGCCAAUUGCUUUGACCGGAGAACCUGUUCAACCAUUCAACAAGUAGAAUUUUGUCAAAAUGGAACCAAAAUUGACCUCCAGAUAAAGGUAAAAGACAACAGAAAAAAUGUGUCAGUCAAAUAACCUUACUAAUCGGAAACAGUUUAAAAUUUAUCUUCCCAUUAUACUAACCUUUGUGAACUCUGUUGGCCGAAGACACUGUUAUAACCGUUCCACAUGUAAACUUUUGUCAGAAUGAAACCAAACUGAAGUAAAAGAAUAAAUAAGAGAAGACAAUGGUUUACCGUGACUAGAGCUACAUGUAUCGCCAUGGGUCCCAUCGUCACAAUAGCAGACGAAUCCACCUGAAGUUUGAUUAUAUCCACAAGCACCUUUAGAUUCUAGGCAAAUUGAGCAGUCUUCUUUAAGUUCAAGUUCAAAACCCUGUUCAAGAGUCUUCUUUAGACUGUGUAACUUCGAUCCCGAGACAGGCAUGCUGACGUAUUUUGUGCAAUUGUUCUCCAAGUUGUCAAUACCAUCCCUCCCGCUGAAUAAAGCAGACGAGCUGUUUAUCACGACACAGUAGUUUCUCACACCUGCUAUUUGAUCCUUACAAUGAAACUCCGUAGCAUAAUUGUAAACGUUGCUUUUAAAGAUCAGAGAUGACAAGUCUGGGCAGCCAUAUAACAUUUUUAGCAGAUCAGUGUCGGUAGCCAGUUGAAGGGCGUUUUGGAGGAACGGUCCAUUUAGUGGGUUUGAAGGACAAAGAUUGUCGAUAUAAUCUGAUCUGGCGAGUCUUAUAAUAUGAGAGGUGUAAUUUGCCUCUAAGAUUCUAAACUUCACAGAGGAGACUGUAAUCUCUGCGAAUCCACUGCUACAACUGAGGUUGAAGUCGGGGUUGCCGCAGGCUACUCUGUCAGGUAUCCAGAAUGGGUAUAAGAGACCGCUCUGAUCCCCACAGCGAAAUGGUUGACUGCAUCGUUUGUAAUGAUCAUAAGCUGAGAAAUCAUCAUCUGUGAAAACCGGGUUUGGAGCUUGGGCUGGAGGUAUGGCAUUCACAGCUUUUAAGAGAGAACCCGGUUCAAAAGGGGCCAUGUAAGGUGGUAGAGUUUCUUGUGUUCCCAAACAUCGAUUCCCUGCAGAAGAGAAACAAAAAGUUAGGCAUUGUUGUGAAACCUUUGGUUCUCAAUAUUUGGGGCCACUUACUUUUGUAUCUUGCUGCUGUGAAAGGGAACUCUGUGAUGGUUCCAUUGAUACCGGCUCCAAGGAUAUAUGAGUUUAUCUCGACGGUUGGGUCAGAGAAGAAGUCAUAUGGUUGAGAUACAAACUCGUUCUGAAACAGUUCCACAUAAACCGGGAGCUUAGACUUCUGCAGCUUCUCCACAACAUUGGUUUGCCCAGCGAUGAAAGAAUCAAACACAUUAAAGACUGAUUCUUUUCCGAUGACAACAGCAUUAGCAAAUUUCUUUAUGUCUUCGAUAGCAUAGUCCUUAAUAUCACUAAUGGUUUUUCCAAUUUUGUAGACAGUCUCAUACUUGCUCUGCUUCUUGAAGUCAACUAGGAUGGAGCUUUCCGUUGACUGAAUCAUGACCUUUGUUGUGGUUAUUCCAUUGCUAUAUCCAGUUUCCGUGAGGGUAUCCAGAACCGCUUUGACCACGUCGAGCCCUUGCUUCUCUCUCAGGUACACUGCAUUCUGAGGGACACAAUAAAAUUAAGUGGCUUUGACACGCCAUAGUCUGAUUGUUAAAAUACUUCCUCGGUUCCAUAUUGUAGUUUUAAAAUUUUCAUGUAUUUUAAGAAUAUAGUUACAAUACCCAUAUUACGGAAAAAUUGCCAAAACGGAACAAAAAAACAACAUAGUUGUCACUAUGGUAUAAAAUCAUAUUUGUCUAUUUAUUUUCUCUUUUACCCUUUUCAUUUCUGAAAUUUAAUGACAUAAAUAAUUUUAUGAAUCCAAAAAAAUAUUAAAAAUAUAAACAAUUAAUAAAACACCUAUAUACACAAACACAUUUUUUUGGUUAAAAAAAUUGAUAAAUAAAAGUUUAUAAUUACGUUACACUAAAAGUAGAAUUCGUCUUCUACGGAAAAUGGAUUAGUAGAAAACGAAUUCCAGAAUAAACAAGUCCAUUUACUUUUUUUAGAAGAAACAAUCUAACAAUGAUUAAAAUUCUAAAUAUGGGGAAUGCAAAUUCUACUAAUUGUAAAGAUGACUACUUUUCUUUUGAAUGAAGUUUUUACUUUUAUGAAGUAUUCUAAAAUUCUCGGGUAUGUGAAAUCUAAACUUAACACGAACGUCUACAAAAAAUAGAAAUUGUAUUCAGAAUUUUUGUCAUGGUUUUACACAGUGUCGAAUGUGUCUUCUACGAAUAAAAAACAAGUUUUUCCAAAAAUCAAGGAAGUUUCAGUUAAGAAAAUAUUCUAAAAAUAUUAUAAUUUCCUAAAAUGUGUCAUGUUCGAUUUUCUUUGUCAAAAUAUAAAAAAAACGAUUUUGGCUUUUCUUCUUCAUCAAUCUAUGAUUUCUCCAUAGUUUUUCUUGUUAUUUUCACAAACUCUUGUUCUAUGAUGCAUAUCUAUACAAUAUGUGGUGUUUGGGAAUUUAGUGCAAGCACGGGAUGGGUUUUUCGGCUGAUGAUAAAGGGGGUAGGCUACUAUUAUUAGAAUCAAGUUCUACCUUAGAGGAUUUUAAAAGAAUAGUUUUGGAGGAUUUUAGAAACCAAAUGCAAUUGGGUUACAUGAUAUUUUUGAUUUGUGUCGUGUGUUCUUUUUUUUUUCAAAAUUGUUUUAGCAUUUUUUUUUCCUUUCUAAAACAUUAUAGGUUACCUUAUUUUUUUAAAUCCUUUUCCACUAAACUUUUAAAAAAUGGUUUUAAUUUAUGUUUAAUUUGAUUUAGGUAAUGUUAGUUUUGGGAUUAUGAAAAAUAUUAUACUAUAGGACAACUUAAUGAUGGUUUUAUACCAUAGAGACAACUAUGUUAUUUUUUUGUUCCGUUUUGAUAAUUUUCCCUAUUACGGAACAUUUAUUAUAUGUAUUAAUUGUCAUAAUUAAUAUAGGCAAAGGGGUAAAAAACUACUACAUCUGUUUUAAUGUGUCAUUUUUUAUUUUUUAUUUUGUCAAAAUAAGUAUCAUUCUACAAUUUCAGUAUAACUUUGUACAUUAAAUUUAUUUUUAUCAUUUUGAAUAACCAAUAAACUUUUGAUUAAAUUAUUUUUAUUUAAUUAAUCUCAUACAUUAAAUAAGUAUAUAUUAGUUAAUUAAUCUUCGUACAAAAAUGUUAAUAUGCAAUGGAGGGAGUGUAAAGUUACAUUGAAACCACGAAACUAGUAUCUUUGUGAAACAAAUAAAAAUCUCAAAACUACGAUCUUUGCAGUAAGGAGGAGUAAUAAUAUUAAGAGGUUGGAGAACUCACUUCUACACUGAUCAAAACACCUGAGAGCGAAGUUGAAUUCUUUGCCAAGUUUAGGAACUCAGAAAGCAAAAUUAGCUUUCCUGAAUUUUUCUUAUUCGGAUUCCUGAACAUAGUGUAUGACCUAUAGGGGUUUUCAAUCGCAGCUGCACGAAAAGAUGGAAGAAAAUAAUUUUUUUAAAAAGAUGGGAGAAUAUUUAUCUUAACUCUCAAGGUGUAUAAUUUUGAUGUAAAAUUGUUGGAUAUAACCUCUUUUAAGUUAAGUAGGAGUAGAAACUUACGAGUCAAGUUCCGGAUCUCAGCCCAUGUGAGACUAAAAGUGUAUAUCCCACUAUUUGAGCUAAUCUCAGGAACUUGUUUUGAGCGUUGCGCGAAAGGUGUUUGGGAGAUCAUUGUGCUGUUCGAGAGAUCUAUUGAACGUGAGCAAAAAGGUACGCCGUCGCUGGACAUCUGGACUGAGCAAUCGAUAACAUCAGCACCAUCUUUGAUGGCUUUAUCAUAUGCCAAGUCUGUACAUCCAGGGUAGUCCCCACUCGCUCCAUUUUUCGAU